GAUGUACUCCCUCCGUUCGGAAUUACUUGUCGCAGAAAUGGAUGUAUCUAGAUGUAUUUUAGUUCUAGAUACAUCCAUUUCCGAGACAAGUAAUUCUGAAUGGAGGGAGUACAUA
This is a non-coding RNA of Triticum aestivum (bread wheat), 115 nucleotides long. The record is from Rfam. Lineage: Eukaryota; Viridiplantae; Streptophyta; Magnoliopsida; Poales; Poaceae.